GAUGAACGCUGGCGGCGUGCUUAACACAUGCAAGUCGAACGGACUUAUUGGAAUUAAUACUUCGGUAAGCGUUUUAAUAAGUUAGUGGCGGACGGGUGAGUAACGCGUGGGUAACCUGCCUUACACCGGGGGAUAACAGUUGGAAACGACUGCUAAUACCGCAUAAGACCACGGUACCGCAUGGUACUGGGGUAAAAGUUCCGGCGAUGUAAGAUGGACCCGCGUCUGAUUAGCCAGUUGGCGGGGUAACGGCCCACCAAAGCGACGAUCAGUAGCCGACCUGAGAGGGUGAUCGGCCACAUUGGGACUGAGACACGGCCCAAACUCC
Molecule: ribosomal RNA, 328 nt
Filed under: uncultured Lachnospiraceae bacterium
Lineage: Bacteria; Bacillati; Bacillota; Clostridia; Lachnospirales; Lachnospiraceae
Description: bacterial SSU rRNA
Rfam family: Bacterial small subunit ribosomal RNA
Source: RNAcentral